UGUCAAGGGGUGGGAAUCGAACCCACGACCUUCCGUUUACCGGGCAGAUGCCAUGACCACUAGGCUACCCUGGAC
RNAcentral lists this transfer RNA (75 nucleotides) under Cordylochernes scorpioides. RNAcentral's name for it is "tRNA-Thr". The record is from RNAcentral. Lineage: Eukaryota; Metazoa; Arthropoda; Arachnida; Pseudoscorpiones; Chernetidae.